RNAcentral lists this ribosomal RNA (710 nucleotides) under uncultured bacterium. RNAcentral's name for it is "bacterial SSU rRNA". It matches the Rfam family "Bacterial small subunit ribosomal RNA", at positions 94 to 823 of the family's 1533-position model. The record is from RNAcentral.
AGCGGCGGACGGGUGAGUAACGCGUGGGUAACCUGCCCUAUACACACGGAUAACAUACCGAAAGGUAUGCUAAUACGAGAUGAUAUAAGAGAUUCGCAUGGAUUUCUUAUCAAAGCUGAGGCGGUAUAGGAUGGACCCGCGUCUGAUUAGCUAGUUGGUAAGGUAACGGCUUACCAAGGCGACGAUCAGUAGCCGACCUGAGAGGGUGAUCGGCCACAUUGGAACUGAGACACGGUCCAAACUCCUACGGGAGGCAGCAGUGGGGAAUAUUGCACAAUGGGCGCAAGCCUGAUGCAGCAACGCCGCGUGAGUGACGAAGGCCUUCGGGUCGUAAAACUCUGUCCUCAAGGAAGAUAAUGACGGUACUUGAGGAGGAAGCCCCGGCUAACUACGUGCCAGCAGCCGCGGUAAUACGUAGGGGGCUAGCGUUAUCCGGAUUUACUGGGCGUAAAGGGUGCGUAGGUGGUCUCUUAAGUCAGGAGUGAAAGGCUACGGCUUAACCGUAGUAAGCUCUUGAAACUGAGAGACUUGAGUGCAGGAGAGGAAAGUGGAAUUCCUAGUGUAGCGGUGAAAUGCGUAGAUAUUAGGAGGAACACCAGUAGCGAAGGCGGCUUUCUGGACUGUAACUGACACUGAGGCACGAAAGCGUGGGGAGCAAACAGGAUUAGAUACCCUGGUAGUCCACGCCGUAAACGAUGAGUACUAGGUGU